Molecule: ribosomal RNA, 253 nt
Filed under: uncultured bacterium
Lineage: Bacteria
Description: partial 16S ribosomal RNA
Rfam family: Bacterial small subunit ribosomal RNA
Source: RNAcentral
UACGGAGGGUGCAAGCGUUAUCCGGAUUCACUGGGUUUAAAGGGUGCGUAGGCGGACAGGUAAGUCAGUGGUGAAAUCCCCGGGCCUAACCCGGGAACUGCCAUUGAUACUAUAGGUCUUGAAUUCAGUUGAGGUGGGCGGAAUGUGUCGUGUAGCGGUGAAAUGCUUAGAUAUGACACAGAACACCGAUUGCGAAGGCAGCUCGCUAAACUGACAUUGACGCUGAGGCACGAAAGCGUGGGGAUCAAACAGG